Molecule: transfer RNA, 74 nt
Filed under: Candidatus Roizmanbacteria bacterium
Lineage: Bacteria; Candidatus Roizmaniibacteriota
Description: tRNA-Glu
Rfam family: tRNA
About the family: Transfer RNA (tRNA) molecules are approximately 80 nucleotides in length. Their secondary structure includes four short double-helical elements and three loops (D, anti-codon, and T loops).
Source: RNAcentral
GCUCUCGUCGUCUAGCGGCCUAGGACAAUAGGUUCUCAUCCUAUAAACCACGGGUUCAAAUCCCGUCGAGAGCA